This is a small nuclear RNA of Erinaceus europaeus (western European hedgehog), 45 nucleotides long. Its record names the gene U5. It matches the Rfam family "U5 spliceosomal RNA". From Rfam's summary of the family: U5 RNA is a component of both types of known spliceosome. The precise function of this molecule is unknown, though it is known that the 5' loop is required for splice site selection and p220 binding, and that both the 3' stem-loop and the Sm site are important for Sm protein binding and cap methylation. Lineage: Eukaryota; Metazoa; Chordata; Mammalia; Eulipotyphla; Erinaceidae. The record is from Ensembl.
CAUGUGAUAGCAUAAAUCUUUCGCCUUUUACUAAAGAUUUCCGUG